RNAcentral lists this ribosomal RNA (253 nucleotides) under uncultured bacterium. RNAcentral's name for it is "partial 16S ribosomal RNA". It matches the Rfam family "Bacterial small subunit ribosomal RNA", at positions 524 to 776 of the family's 1533-position model. The record is from RNAcentral.
UACGGAGGGUGCAAGCGUUAUCCGGAUUUACUGGGCUUAAAGGGUGCGUAGGUGGGGAGGUAAGUCAGUGGUGAAAUCUCCGGGCUUAACCCGGAAACUGCCAUUGAUACUAUCUGUCUUGAAUAUCCUGGAGGUGAGCGGAAUAUGUCAUGUAGCGGUGAAAUGCUUAGAGAUCGGAAAGAACACCAACGGCGAAAGCACUCUGCUGGGCCGACACUGACACUGAGAGACGAAAGCUAGGGGAGCGAAUGGG